Molecule: non-coding RNA, 414 nt
Organism: Vicia faba (fava bean)
Lineage: Eukaryota; Viridiplantae; Streptophyta; Magnoliopsida; Fabales; Fabaceae
Source: the annotation of a GenBank genome assembly
GAUUUUUCCCUCACUAAUGUGCUUUAUGUUCCUUCAUUUUCUUUAAAUUUGAUAUCGGUGUCUAAACUGUGUCAAUCACUUGAUUGCACAGUUGAAUUUAAUGGUUCAACUUGUUUCAUACAGGAAAAGAGCACAAGGAGGAUGAUUGGUUCUGGUGACAAAGUUCAAGAAUCGUAUUACUUAGCUUUGCCAAACCAGAUAGUGUGUAGCUCUUAUUCCAAUUCUAUCAUUUUACCAAAUCAUUCUACGUGGCAUUUCAGAUUGAGACGCAUUUCUGUACAAAUCAUGAAUACUUUACAUUCAAAAUUUACUUUCAUUAAUGUUGAUUCUCGUUCUGUGUGUGAUGUAUGCCAUUUAGCUAAGCAGAGGAAACUCACUUUCCCAAAUAUACUUACUAAAACUUUACAACCUUUU